UACGGGGGGGGCAAGCGUUGUUCGGAAUUACUGGGCGUAAAGGGCUCGUAGGCGGCCAACUAAGUCAGACGUGAAAUCCCUCGGCUUAACCGGGGAACUGCGUCUGAUACUGGAUGGCUUGAGUUUGGGAGAGGGAUGCGGAAUUCCAGGUGUAGCGGUGAAAUGCGCAGAUAUCGGGAGGAACACCAAUGGCGAAGGCAGCUCGCUGGGACGUUACUGACGCUGAGACGCGAAAGCGUGGGGAGCAAACAGG
This 253-nucleotide ribosomal RNA is filed under the name uncultured bacterium. RNAcentral's name for it is "partial 16S ribosomal RNA". It matches the Rfam family "Bacterial small subunit ribosomal RNA", at positions 524 to 776 of the family's 1533-position model. The record is from RNAcentral.